AAAUAAUGGACAAAAAAAGAACAAAUAGAGACUUCUUUAAACCACCUGUUCCUAAAGUCCAUGUAAAACGGAACUAAACCACCAUCCGGUCAGUAAAUGAGCAUAAAAUGCUGUGGAAAGAUCUAAUCAGAUUUAAAAUGGAAAUCUGUGCUUACUGGUUUGGAGUACAUGCAUUAUUCACAUAUUAGCAUUCUGCUCCCCUGUUGAAUCUGAGGGCACAUCAGUGUUGGGUGGUCAGCUUUACAGAUCAAGUCCAUGUUUCGGUGAAUUUCAUGUUCCAAUCUAUCUGUACGCAGUCAUAUUCAUGCCCACUGACAAUUCCCUUUUCUAUUUCUUUGUUAGUCUUGUUUGUGCAACACUUGUAUAAUAAUGUAUUUCCUACAUGACCUUUGAAAACGUUUUGUUCAAUAAAACCAAUCUAAAAA
Etheostoma cragini (Arkansas darter) is the source of this 425-nucleotide long non-coding RNA. RefSeq lists it as uncharacterized. Lineage: Eukaryota; Metazoa; Chordata; Actinopteri; Perciformes; Percidae. The transcript has 3 exons. The record is from RefSeq and is a predicted model, not a curated record.